UACGAAGGAUUCGAGCGUUAUCCGGAUUUAUUGGGUUUAAAGGGUGCGUAGGUGGAUUAAUAAGUCAGUGGUGAAAGCCCGGAGCUCAACUCCGGAACUGCCAUUGAUACUGUUAGUCUUGAGUACAGUUGAGGUGGGCGGAAUGUGUCAUGUAGCGGUGAAAUGCUUAGAUAUGUCAUAGAACACCGAUUGCGAAGGCAGCUCACAAAGCCACUAUUGACGCUGAGGCACGAAAGCGUGGGGAUCAAACAGG
Molecule: ribosomal RNA, 253 nt
Filed under: uncultured bacterium
Lineage: Bacteria
Description: partial 16S ribosomal RNA
Rfam family: Bacterial small subunit ribosomal RNA
Source: RNAcentral